This 77-nucleotide transfer RNA is filed under the name Bacillaceae bacterium G1. RNAcentral describes it as "tRNA-Met". It matches the Rfam family "tRNA". Rfam says of the family: Transfer RNA (tRNA) molecules are approximately 80 nucleotides in length. The record is from RNAcentral. Lineage: Bacteria; Bacillati; Bacillota; Bacilli; Caryophanales; Bacillaceae.
GGCGGUGUAGCUCAGCUAGUUAGAGCGUGCGGUUCAUUCCCGCGAGGUCGGGGGUUCGAAUCCCUCCACCGCUACCA